RNA transcript from Felis catus (domestic cat), 8479 nucleotides. It is a transcript of the gene named maternal embryonic leucine zipper kinase, with no coding region annotated. The record is from RefSeq and is a predicted model, not a curated record. The transcript has 20 exons. Lineage: Eukaryota; Metazoa; Chordata; Mammalia; Carnivora; Felidae.
UUUGAUUUCCUUGGCGGGCGGAAGCGGCCAGAAUCAGACGAUUCCAAAGCUUACCAGGGGCUCUGGGCGCUCGCUGCUUCGCUCGGGACGGCUGGCCGCCUCCUGUGUGCUUCUACCCGGCCCCGCCCCCCGGCUCUCCACCCCUCUGCCCCUCAGGUUCCUUUUAUAAUUUUGUAGAAACUUCCAGGAGGACUAUGAAAGAUUAUGAUGAACUUCUCAAAUACUAUGAAUUAUAUGAAACUGUUGGGACAGGUGGCUUUGCAAAGGUCAAACUUGCUUGCCAUAUCCUCACUGGAGAAAUGGUAGCUAUAAAAAUCAUGGAUAAAAAUGCACUAGGGAGUGAUUUGCCCCGGAUCAAAACGGAGAUUGAGGCCUUGAAGAACUUGAGACAUCAGCAUAUAUGUCAACUCUACCAUGUGCUGGAGACAGCCAACAAAAUAUUCAUGGUUCUUGAGUAUUGCCCCGGAGGAGAGCUGUUUGACUACAUAAUUUCCCAGGAUCGCCUAUCCGAGGAGGAGACCCGAGUUGUCUUCCGUCAGAUAGUAUCUGCAGUUGCUUAUGUGCACAGCCAGGGUUAUGCUCACAGGGACCUCAAACCGGAAAAUUUGUUGUUUGAUGAAUAUCAUAAAUUAAAACUGAUUGACUUUGGUCUCUGUGCAAAACCGAAGGGUAACAAGGAUUACCAUCUUCAGACAUGUUGUGGGAGUCUUGCUUAUGCAGCACCUGAAUUAAUACAAGGCAAAUCAUACCUGGGAUCGGAGGCAGAUGUUUGGAGUAUGGGCAUACUCUUAUAUGUACUUAUGUGUGGCUUUCUACCAUUCGAUGAUGAUAAUGUCAUGGCUUUGUACAAGAAGAUUACGCGAGGGAAAUAUGAGGUUCCUAAGUGGCUCUCUUCUAGUAGCGUUCUGCUUCUUCAACAGAUGCUACAGGUGGACCCAAAGAAACGGAUUUCUGUGAAAAAUCUAUUGAGCCAUCCCUGGAUCAUGCAUGAUUACAACUGUCCUGUUGAGUGGCAAAGCAAGAAUUCUCUUAUUCACCUUGAUGAAGAUUGUGUAACAGAACUAGCUGUACAUCACAGAAAUAACAGGCAAACAAUGGAGGAUUUAAUUUCAUUGUGGCAGUAUGAUCACCUCACAGCUACCUAUCUUCUGCUGCUAGCCAGGAAGGCUCGGGGAAAACCAGUUCGUUUAAGGCUUCCUUCUUUUUCCUGUGGACCAGCCAGUGAUACCCCGUUCACAAACACCAAGUCAAAGAAUCUGAGUCUAGAAGAUAUGACAACAAGUGAUGAAAAUGAUGUGGCUGGAUUGAUAGACUAUGACUGGUGUGGAGACAGUUCAUCAAUAGGUGUGACCACCCCACAAACACCACAGUUUGCCAAGCAUUGGACAGAAUCAAAUGGUCUGGAAUCUAAAUCAUUAACUCCAGUAUUAUGCAGAGCAUCUGCCAAUAAAUUAAAGAACAAAGAGAAUGUAUAUACGCCUAAGUCUGCUGUAAAGAAUGAUGAGUGCUUUGUAUUUCCUGAGCCUAAGACUCCAGUUAAUAAGAACCAGCAUAAGAGAGAAAUACUCUCCACACCAAAUCAUUACACUACACCCUCAAAAGCCAGAAACCAGUGUCUGAAAGAAACUCCAGUUAAAAUGCCAAUAAAUUCAGCAGGAACAGAGAAGUUAAUGACAGGUGUCAUUAGCCCUGAGAGGCGAUGUCGCUCAGUGGAACUGGAUCUCAACCAAGCACACGUAGAGGAUACUCCAAAAAGAAAAGGAACCAAAGUGUUUGGGAGCCUUGAAAGGGGGUUGGAUAAGGUUAUCACUGUGCUUACCAGGAGCAGAAGGAAGGGCUCUGCCAAAGAUGGGCCAAGAAGACUAAAGGUGAGGACGAUGUUUAAAUUUACUUGAAGGUCCUAUGAAGGGGAUGAAAAAUAAAUAACAGAGUGGGAACUUACCUACUAGAAAGAGAACAUGCUAACUCAAGCCCAAUGAGCCCUACUUGCUGCUCACCUCACCGCCAUGUGGCCUGCGCUUCUAGAAAAUCUCCCUAAACCCGGCUUUUCCUGGAUGUCUUCUUGACAGAACUCUGGGAGGCAGGAGCCUUCAGGAUGAGGCAUCGCAAAGAUGGCUCGUACCCAGACCGGUGACCUCCAACAGAGACACGCCAGGAAGGUGGAAGGGGCCGUGCGGCAGGAUCAUGUUCUGGACUGGAAAGUACGUCUGCUCAUUACCUGACCUUUGCUAAGUACACCAACUAAUGGAGCGAGAGACGUGAAAGAUCUUCACAGGCCAUGUGGAAAUGUAAUUCAAACCCAGCUCGAGGAGGUCACCUGCAAAGACCUAAAAAUGAAUGAAAUACCGUUUUACACCUUGGAGGCCCCCAGUCCAGUCACUCUCAGAGGAACCUUUUCAAUGUUGCCAAAUGGACGUCCAUUCAGCUCCUCUUUCAGCCCACCUCCUCCCGGGACAGCUUAAUCUCUCUGUGGAAAAGGAGGAAAACGACAAACACGCCAACCUCCGAACCUGUUUGCGCAUCUGGGGAAGAUAGAGGCCCCUCUUCCAGGGCUGUGGCAGCUACACCUGGCGAGCUGACACAUCCUAACUGCUCAGCAAAGGUGAUGAUGACUGUUACCACAUCCUGUGCCUGCUUGUCAUUCCUGGGUGUCCCACAGCACCUCACAGACACCACUUGCUCGUGCAACCAUUGUCCUGAUAUGGUUUGCCUCCUCACUACCAGAGGGGGAGCUCCAUGAGGGCAGGGUUCAUAUUCCAUUCAUCUCUGUCCCCAGCCCCGGUGCCCAGACCAGACCCUGGCAUGGAGCAGAAAUCAAGGAGCAUUUAUUGGCUGGAGGAAGGAGAAAACAACGGGCAGUUCAUUUUAAAAAUACAGACCCUGAUGGUUCCCAGAAAUUCCAGUUGAUUCACAGUUUUUGACUGGAAUUGUAGUUUUCCCUGGAUUCAACAUUCAGCUGAACCCAAGGAGUGCCAAGCCCCACCAAAGAUGGUCAUCACACACCACAUGACACAGCCUCCAGCUGACAGCCUUCAGAUGUCCCCUCACCAGGGAGAGGCUCUUUGGGGCAGGGUUCCAGUAAGGCGUUGUAAAGGUGACAAGUAACUAUAGUGCCCCACAACCCAUAAGGCUUAUCCAUAUUUUUGUCUGGUUUCCUUUCCCCUUCUUCAGUAAACACAGGCACAGGUCACCAAAUCUUCAGGCCAUACAAGGAGUGAAAUUCCAGUCUUCGUUUCUUGAAAAUACCUCCAAACUUCCAAGGGAUGCUCUUGGAGAUAGGAAGCAGCAGUUCUGCCCCAGGACACCUGAACCUGCAUUUUGCCCAAGCUGGCCACCUGUUUCUGUCUCAGUCUUCUUAUAUUUGUACUGGAGGGAUGAAGGUAGGAGGAUGUUACUGACAGUCAUUCUUUAAAUUGUCAUCUCUCAGGUAGCACUGUAGAAGGUGACUGGACCCAACUGGUAGAGGCUCCAAGAACUUUGGGUUUCAAUUUUGGGUCUUGGCUGUGCAAUGUGGGGACAACAGGAAAAAUUCUGCGAAGUCUCAGCACCUGAUAAACAGUGCUUAAUAAGUGCUAAUGGGUAUUACUGAUCAGAGCUCAACUCGAAGAGUCUUGCAUUGGGAAGCAGGGCGGACCAGGAGUCAGAGUGGACCAGGAGCAAAGCUGCAGAUGACAAGCGGUGGGACUCCUUCAGUACCUGCAGGCCAGGAAUACACUUGUUCUCCAAACCUGGUGUCAGUUGGAGUCCAGGCGAGGGUAGGGCAAAGGUGAGGAGCGGAGAGGGCAGGACAUAUUCAUGCCAUUCUUUUGCUUCAGGCUGUUCGUCCUUCACUGCCUCAGAGGUGGCAGGAAAGAGCUGAGUGAAGCUGAGAUUGAAAGGCUCUGGAAUUCGUGGCGUCACGAAGAUACAGCCUGGCUAACUAUCCCCAGACCCAUUUCCUCUUUUUCUUCAGCACACAGGUAGACUACAUUUCUCAGCCUCUCUUGCAGUUGGGCCUGGCCACAAGACAGAGUUGUGGCCAAUAGCAUGUGAGUGAAGAUGUCUCCCAUUUCCAGCCCUGCCCGUGGAAAUCUUCCAAGGCAUGAUACUCCAGAUGCUUAUCUUUUUUGCAGCCUUGAUGCAGACAAACAACUUUGGAGGCUACACAUAAAGGUGGCAGAGCCAAAAGAUACAAGGGACCUCGAUCUCUGAGUCACUUUGUGGAAGGCUGCCUCCCUACCAGGAACACCCACAUUUAACCGUCAUGUGAGUGAAAGGUGUAUGCUUUUGUGUGGCGACAUUUCAGUUAUAGGGUAUGUUUGUUGCAUCAGCUGGCACUGCCUUAUCGGACACACGAGUUCACAGAGCAAAUGAGAAAAUUAGCUUGCAUCCACACUGUCCACACUGUAAGAAUUUCUACGAGUUUCGGGAAUGUAUCUGCCAUGCUCUACAAAGUAUGCACAAUGUUUUAAUUCCACUUCACAGAAAGGUUUUCUUUCCAAACCCUCUUCAGGGGCCUUCCCUAUUAAAAAGUCCCAUUUAUAGAAACUACUACUUAGCAUUUUUGGAACUUGUUAUCCUAUUCAGCAGAGUCUAAGUCAGGAGGCUUUGAACUCGGACAAUUACUGCUCUUGAUUAACAACAAGAACUGAUGAGUUGGCCUUUCCAGUGUGCUAAGCAAACUCAGCCAAGCAGAAAAUAUCACUGAAGGGGAAACAAUGGGAAGUGAUUUUCUUGGUUACAUUAUGAGCCGUCGUGAUAUUUACACAUGUUUGUGGAUAAUGUGGGAAACUCUGCUGCUUGCGUGCCCUUGCAGAUGACACUGUUGGGCUUGAAACACCAUGUUUCCCACUUGAUCUGGGCUGCAGAUGUCAUCCUGCAGGCAGCCAGCCUAGUGGAAAAACCACAGACCUGGGAGUGGGCAGGUGUGGGUGCAGGAUACCUGAACCGCGUCUUUCGAGCACCUGUUCCUCCAGGUGUCCCUGGGGCCAGCACCCAGGCCUAGAGCCUCAUAUUGUCAGACAGCCCAGUGGCAGCAUAAGUGUCCAUUUCUUUAUACCCUUGACACAACUGGGUAUUUUAAUUUUUUUAAAUGUUUGUUUAUUUUUGAGAGAGACAGACAGACAGAAUGUGAGUGGGGGAGGAGCAGAGAGAGGGAGACACAGAAUCCAAAGCAAGCUCCAGGCUCUGAGCUGUCAGCACAGAGCCUGAUGCGGGGCUUGAACCCGUCAAUUUCGAGAUCAUGACCUGAGCCGAAGUCAGACUCCCAACCUACUGAGCCACCCAGGCACCUCAACAGAACUGGGUAUUUUAAAAGAGAUCUUUGUGAAGUUGAGUCAUGUUGCUUUUAAUCCCAGAUUGCACAUUUACUUAUAUUUAAUAUGUCUGCAUUUGUGAGUGAUCUAUGUAAGUCCUUUAUCCAUUUCUUCUUUGGGGAUAGUAGUAGUUUUCAUAUCAUUGCAUACAAAAUUUUCAUUUAUUAAGGGCAUUGCACCUCUUCAUGUUACUUAGGUUUAUUUUUCCAAGUUAUUUGUCCUUUUUUUGUUCAUUUUUUGUGCAUUUAAAGUUAAAAAAAUUAAGUAGCCAAAAUUCUAUUUUUUCCAUCUUUUUAAGCUUCCAAAGUCGCAUUUCAUAAGGAAGUUUGAGGUAUAUUCAUCUAUAAACCCUACUAGAUUUAUUUUAAAUAUUUAAAACGUAACUGGUUAGGGACCCCUGGCUGGCUCAGUCAGUAGGGUAUGCGACUCUUGAUCUCAGAGUCGUGAGUUUCAAGUCUAUUUAAAGAAAAAAAAAAGUAACCCUUCAAUCCACCAGGGGCUUAUUUGAGUGGAAGAUGUGAAGUAAAGAUCUUCCUAGGGCUUCAGUAGGUUCCUUGAUAGUUCAUUUCUGCAUUCUACCUUUGUCUCAGUCUGCUCCAAGUCCUAUAACAAAAAUACUACAGAUUAUGUGGCUUAAGCAACAAACAUUUAUUUCUUGCAGUGUGGGAGGCUGGGGAUCCAAGAUCAAGGCAUCAGCAGAUUUGGUAUCUGGUGAGGGCCUCUUUCCUAUGUCCAUAAAUGGUGGGAGGGAUGAGGGAACUCUCCAGAGUCUCUUUAAAAGAGCACUAAUCCCAUUCAUGAGGGCUCCACCCUCAUGACCUAAUGACCUCCAAAAGUUCUCUUCUAAUACCAUCAUACUGGGGAUUAAGUUUCAAUAUAGGAAUUUUGCCUGGACACAAACAUUCAGUCUGCAGCAACCCUCCUCCUGAGUUUGGUAGUGAGCCUGGCUCAAAGAAGCUUCCGCCUAGAGUUUAACCUUUGGAUGUAAAAAUCUGGCUUCCUUACAAGUGAGGAAAGAGGUUGGCAAACUCACACUGGUCAUUUAGAAAAAAAUUUUGCACAGCACAUGUAUUCCUCACAUCUUCAAAAUAAAUGUUAUGAGAUUUAUACCCAUUGUGCGGAAGAAAAAAACCAAGGCUCCUAGAAGUGAGGAGACUGCUCAUACCAGCAAACUGACUCCCAAGAUCUAGAGCUGAGACCCAGCCCAGGCACUUAGGAGCCUUUAUCCUUCUGCCUUUUUCACAGCCCUGAUGCAGCCUGAUCCCUCCACGGAUCACCUCUUUACCCAGCAUCUAGCAUGGUGGGAGCUUGGGGAACGAAUGGGCCUAAGGCUUAAGUCUCACAUGGCAGAUCAGCCAUCCCCCUCUCCUCCUCUUUGUGAUGGUCACUGAGGCUGCUGAAGGCUGCCUGAGCGUACUCAAGGUUGGCAUUUCCACCCUCCUAACUGGAGGCCUCGCCGUGGCCUCCUUUCUGCCGUCACGUGGGGACUGCACGUGCCCGGGUUACUGCAUAUGCUGGUGUCCCAUAGCUGAGGAGGGCAGGCUUGAGGCCCCUCUGUCCCAGGGGAGCCAGGAACGAGGGCCAUGGCAUCAGAGACAGAGGGGCCUGCUCUGAAAGGGUCCAAGUUUCAGUUCCAAAAUGCUGCCACUUGCCUUUGAAGCUCGAGCCCCUAUGCCUCGAGCGCUGGGAAGAAAGGAGCUGGGCCAGUGCUCCGCUGCACCAGCAUCCUUCUCUCUCCCUCAGGAAUCACCUUCGUCACCAUCCAUUGCCAAAAUGAAUGGAAGCUGCACAGCCGGCUUUAUUAAAUAUGAAUGAGUCACAGCCCACGGCCCCCACGCGGUCACUCACCCACUCCAUCUCUGGCAAUUACCGCGUCGCACACACUGUGCCAAGGGGCGCCGCGGUCCCUGCCUGCCCUUGCAGACUGACACCGCCCAGCAGGGGCAGGGCUCAGGUCUGCAGCUGCCCCUGAUGGAAAGCCACUGCUGGGCUCCUAUGCAGUCCAAAUGCUCCGCUCUGAAGCUAUAGGGACAGGGCACCUUCCGCAGAAGGAUCGUGGACGCUUGGGCUCUGAGGUCUGGCUGGGGAUAGCCUGUGACUUUGGAGCCCAAGGUCUCCUGGCAUGACGGACUCCUAAGCUCUGUCUGCAUGUCAAGGGUGUGUGGGUAACAGAUAUUUUAGAUUUCAGGCAGUUUUAAGAGCCAGCCUGGAUCAAGGUUAAGAGCAUGUGUGCAAGGGCACACGGUCACCGAGCACACAUGCAGUGUGUGUUCACGUUCCCCGCACAGGAGCCCAGUAGAUGGUUGAGUUUCAUGUCACUGGGGUCCUUGUUAACCCCGUCCGCUGCUGUGUCCUCAGUGUUUGUUGAAUGAAUAAAUGAGGCAGAUGUUACCGACCAUUUUGGAGCUACUGAAGUUGAGUUACGGAACUCACCAAGGUUCCACGGCUGUGGAAUAUCAGAGCUAGGUGUCAAAUCCGGGGUUGGUCUCCACCCUGCCAAGUGGCUGGCGGCUUGCCUGGGAACCCCUGCCCUGCCCAGGCCACGGUCCGAUGCCUCAACACAGCACUCUAGUUGCAUAGAUUUCUUUGACCCUGGUUUCAUCAGGAGAGCCAGUAAAGUUCCCCACAGCCCCAUGUGGCUUCGUCAAAGGUUAAAAACAAAUGCAAGUUGUACAAAGUUGUAAAAACAAAUGAGAUACAAUUCUUUUCCUGAACUUAAAAAAUUACUUUUAUUUUAGGAACCAAUAAAAUUAUGGCAAAUAUUUACAAAUAAUUAUCUCACAUAAAGGUUACAUAAAAUCAAUCCUUCACAAGUAACAGUCACUCAUGAAAAGACACACAGAUAUUGAAACUACGCCAAUCUUAUUGCAAGUUUCUCCAACUAAUCUAAAAGAAAAGUGUUGCAGUCAACCAUUUAACUUAGAAUGAAACCACAAAUUCCAAGUUUGACAAGAAAAAAAAAGGUAAAAAAUGAAACCAAAAUCCCACCCCUGUUUUCUCCCAAGUCCCACCCCAAGCCCCUGCCCUCCUCCCAACAAAAGAAAAAUAUGUCCAACAUCUUUGGCAAAUCGGCACUGCUGUAAUUACAUUCAAAUAUUAUUACACACAAAAGCAACACACGUCACUAAGAAAAAAAAAAACCACCAAUAUUUCAAGUCAGGUAUUUCUACUAGAAAAAAAGAAUA